RNAcentral lists this ribosomal RNA (273 nucleotides) under uncultured prokaryote. Its description in RNAcentral is "partial 16S ribosomal RNA". It matches the Rfam family "Bacterial small subunit ribosomal RNA", at positions 524 to 798 of the family's 1533-position model. The record is from RNAcentral.
UACGUAGGGGCGAGCGUUAUCCGGAAUUAUUGGGCGUAAAGGGUUCGCAGGCGGCCUUGUAAGUCAGAUGUGAAAGACAGCGGCUUAACCGUUGUAAGCAUUUGAAACUGCAGGGCUUGAGUACAGGAGAGGAAAGCGGAAUUCCUAGUGUAGCGGUGAAAUGCGUAGAUAUUAGGAGGAACACCAGUGGCGAAGGCGGCUUUCUGGACUGAUACUGACGCUGAGGAACGAAAGCGUGGGGAGCAAACAGGAUUAGAUACCCCUGUAGUUCCU